AAGAAUCGAUACACAUGGUGAAUGUUAGAUCUAAAUUUAUGUCUAGAGUUUAGAAAUUAACAAAUGUUCAUCUUAGAUUAAGAUCUGAAGAGUAUUUCUCAAUAGUGCUUCUAAUCCAAAUAUCAAACAAGUAAACAAAGAUGACAUCGAUAUAGAUUAAUAAAAUAGAUCUUGUACAAUGCCAAAAUCAAUAAAUAUACAUACUAUGAAAGUA
RNAcentral lists this long non-coding RNA (214 nucleotides) under Lathyrus oleraceus (garden pea). RNAcentral describes it as "Pisum sativum (pea) long non-coding RNA (PSAT_LNC002263)". Lineage: Eukaryota; Viridiplantae; Streptophyta; Magnoliopsida; Fabales; Fabaceae. The record is from RNAcentral.